UCAAAAUAUGAUUUUGUAUGGGAUUGUGGAGAUAAGUCUUCCCUAUUUGAUGCAUGUAUUAGUUGUAUCCAAAGCUUCGACUUUUGACACCUCUUUUAGUUUAAAUCGCCACUGUACGUCGCUUCACUUCUUAAUUUUGUAUUGCUGUAACAAGUCGAGUGGCAACGAAAAGAAUAAUUAAAAAGGAUAAAUUGAAUUUAAACAAACAAAUUAAGUGCAUUUAAUAAAACGUCUCAGAGGAGUCUAAGUUUACCGGAGAGAAGUCUCAAACAUUAGGUGUGUUGGUGUGCGAUGUAUUGUACAAGAGGCUGCGUGCCUUGUGUUUGUAUAUUUUUCAAUAGUUAUAGAGCAUGCCACUGAAAUCAUAAAAUCAAAGAACCUCAGGGCAAGAACAAGUGGUACAAUCGUAAGUGCCAAGUCCGGGGUGUAAGGAGAUUAGCAGCAUGUGAAAAAUGUGUCUUCCUCGGAAAAGAGCCUGUGAGGGUCACCACGGAGUUCAUAUACCUUGGAGUUCUCUUUACGGCCACGGAGCUAUUCUUUGUUACGGUGCACAAGUGUGGGGAGUUGAAGAUGUUUCACAAAAACAAUACUUAUAUUUCCUGAAAGUAACAUUACAACUACAUUUUGUCGAUCGAUGCAGGGCUGGAUAAGGGACACAUAUACGGCUUCAAUCUUUAAUCUUCUAAAAUAUGUAUCGCGAUUUCUGUAUGAGUACGAAGAGAACAGACUGCCGAUCAUCCUAGCACGCCACAUGAUGGAAAAAGAUUUAAAUUGGUUUUUACGAUUUAAGGCGUCACUUCGAAGCUGUAACCUCACUCUCGAUCUAAAUGCAAACACACUCAGAAUGGAAUUGACGAUAUGAACCUAGCUUUUAUAUUAUGUCUAAGCACACAAACGCACUAAAAACAUGUGAGUAGUAUUUCCUUUCAGAGCAGAGCUUUUCGUUUUGUUUCGCGUCGAGUCGACUGCUCGUAGACCUGAAAACUGCUACUGAAUCUCGCCCAUCAGCAGUGCCUUGAGAUUGCCAUUACGAAGUGAACGUCUGGUCUCGAAACUGUAAAACCUAGCACACGUAAUAUUGAAUGCUACUCGAAACGGACGGGGAAAUCGGAACAAUAAUCGUCAAAAACAUGAGCGACAGAUAAGUAUUCGUCUUGGCCUCUAUGGGGCUGUCCAAUCCGGAGACGCCCACGAACUCGGGACAGCAGGCGUCUCAGCAAGACCACUCCAGGUGCAAUUCUAGCAAUGAGCCCACAGCCACGGAGUACUUUCACUGCUUGGUGGACCAACUGCCUGAGGCACACGACAUGGCCGCUCAGAUGACGAGAUCGACGGCCUAAAUUUUCCGAGCGGAGAUUCAAAGCUGCGUCUGAUCACUUUCCAAGAGUCAAGCAGCCUGAUUUUCGACCUGCUCUAUAUCUUACAUUUUCGCUGUCGUUCUUCAGAUGACGCUGCCUAUGGGUUAUGCCCAGAAGCUGGGUUUCCAAUGAAAGGCUUUCCGUGUCCCAAAUAUGCCGGUGAAAGGCAUUCUGGAUGAACUUUAUGAUUGCUCAGAAGUCCUUGCACAGCUUUCGGUUUUCGUCUUUGACUGAACGUCAACAACGUCUUGUUCGCCAACUUGUCGGCAAUUGAAAACGAAUCGUACGGAAGGAUCAUGGCCUGCGUUCAGUCGGUCAGUGGGGAGCAACAGCAGACGCUGGACGAAAACCGAAAGCUGCGGAAGGACUUUUGCGCAAUCAUAAAGCUCCUACAGAAUGCCUAUCACCGGAACAUUUGGGACACGGACAGCCUUUCACUGGAAACCCAGCUUCUGGGCAUAACCCAUAAGCAGCGUCAUCCAGAGAGCGACAGUGAAAAUGUAAGAUAUAGAGCAGGUCGAAAAUAAGGUGCUUCACUCAAUCGGUGUGUAUCUCCUCCAUAGAGCGAUAGUGAAUGCGGCAGGUGCUGCCUUAAUGCCUCCUCCAGUCCCCAUUCAGCUUCUCUAGCUUCUGGGCAUAGCCCACGAGCAGCAUCAUCCGGAGAGCGACAAUAAAAAUAGCGAUAGCGAAUGCUGCCGGUGCUGCCUUAAUGCCUCCUCCAGUCCCCAUUGAAGAUAACCUAUUCGAGUCUUCCGUUACUACUGAUGUUGUUUUUAGCUAAAUUGUAUUCAUAAAUUUAAGAUUGCCGUUGUUCAGCAGCGUAGCUUGCGAUAAAUAUAAUAAUACUCAUCGAAUUAUGCUGCUGCCAAAGCUCAGUAGCUCAAAAUUUAAACAUAAACAGUUAAAUCACAAAAAACAAAAACAUUCUCGUUUCAAAAACGGUUCUCGCGUCGUCUGCCUUGCGUUCUGCCCACGGUUAGUGCUGCGUUUGUUGGAUGCGAAAAACGACUGUGCUGUGGCCGCUGCUGGAAACAGGGUGUCUUGUAGCGGAAAGUGCUGGCACUAUUGGCAAGGAUUCUCGUUGGAAGGCUCAAGCAGAUCGAGGAGCUGCACGGUACUUCUAAAAGCGUGCACAGCGAGCUCCAGAAGCUAUAAUACGACGAGAUUGUCAGUGAACUGUGCGAUGACUUUGACCUCGCAUUCAAUUCUUGGCACAUAUGUACAUAUGUACAUACAUACGUAUGAAAUAGUAGAGC
Molecule: long non-coding RNA, 2614 nt
Organism: Drosophila miranda
Lineage: Eukaryota; Metazoa; Arthropoda; Insecta; Diptera; Drosophilidae
Exons: 3
Source: RefSeq, a predicted model, not a curated record